Carya illinoinensis is the source of this 1338-nucleotide long non-coding RNA. RefSeq lists it as uncharacterized. Lineage: Eukaryota; Viridiplantae; Streptophyta; Magnoliopsida; Fagales; Juglandaceae. The record is from RefSeq and is a predicted model, not a curated record. The transcript has 3 exons.
CAUUGACCCACCACUGCUGCUACUGCGGCCCAUACAUAUAGAGAGAUAAAAAUAGUUGAGAAAAAAGAGGGCAACUUUUUCUGACACUAGAAACUCAGCAUCUCCAAAUGUGGUGGGGAUUUUUUCAGCGCAACGGCAUUAUUAAUGCAUGCAUCCCUUCAGGACCCAAUCGGAGACCCAAUUGUCAGUGACAGUAGUGUUUCUACUCUUUUCACAUUCCUUUGCAAUAAGAAAAACUCUGCAACCGGGGUAUAUCUCCGGUGCGUCCUCGGCUCCUACGUGGCAGUCAUAAUGUAAAUGACGCCGUUUACAUUAUGACUUUGGCUCGAUGGGUAUCCCCCCCCCCCCAGACAUCCCCCACGAACCCUAACCCUAACCCCUGUCGGCUCCCUCUCAUCUCUCCUUUCUCAUCAUAAAAGGUCACCCGACGCUAGCUUUGAGGAGCCCUAACCCAGAGAACCCAUUUGACGGCGACACGAACCCUAACCCAAGCCACUCGGCCUCCCUCUCCCUUCGUCCUCCCAGAGAGCCGUGAACCCACUCAGUCUUCUCCCGUGUCCUCCCCCAAACCUCCAUCCAAUUGUCUUCACCCCCUUGAGGCCGCGACGGGACACGAACCCGAGAAGCAGGAAUCUUCUCGGAGAACCCAGGGGUUCAUCUUAGAAUGUCAAAAUCAUCUUCAUCAAUAUCUUCGUCAUCUUUUCCCAAACGUACUUUGGGAAAAGAAUUGUGCUUCUGCGAGCUAGAAGCCACAUUAAAAUGGUCAACUACUACAAAAAAUCCUAGACGGGCCUUCUUAGGGUGUUCAAAGUAUAAUACGCAGGGCUUACCAUACUGUAAGUUUUUCAAGUGGUUAGAUGGUAAUGAAGUGACUGAGUUACAAUAUAGAGAAAGGAUUGAUGAAUUGUUAAAGAAAGAGAGAGAUGUCGAGAAGCUACUUGAGCUGCUCGGAAAGAGGGAGAUCGAGCUCCGUAAGAUAGUGGAACGCCUCGAGAGGGUGCAGAUGGUGCUGUCCAAUAAAAGCGACGAGGUUAUGCAAAAGGAGUUGGUGCUUAACGCACAAGAAGCUAAAAGAAGGCGUUGGAGCACGCUGCUUUGGAUUUAUUGUUGUGCAGUAUUUUUACAUGCUUUUUACCUAGUUUUAUAUAAGUAAUUUGGGAUUGUUGUUAGUAGUCAUGUGUUUAGGUAUUUUGGGAAUUAUUUUGAUGUUUAUACAAAGUGGAAUUGUGGAAGUUGUUGAUCAAUGUGUUAAAUAUGUGACUGUUUGCACUUUAUGUACUGUUUUAUAUGUGGAUAUGGAUGUGAAAGAUAGGUUGAAGGAACUUUUUUAAUCAUUAA